UGGGUAGUUUGACUGGGGCGGUCUCCUCCUAAAGAGUAACGGAGGAGCACGAAGGUUGGCUAAUCCUGGUCGGACAUCAGGAGGUUAGUGCAAUGGCAUAAGCCAGCUUGACUGCGAGCGUGACGGCGCGAGCAGGUGCGAAAGCAGGUCAUAGUGAUCCGGUGGUUCUGAAUGGAAGGGCCAUCGCUCAACGGAUAAAAGGUACUCCGGGGAUAACAGGCUGAUACCGCCCAAGAGUUCAUAUCGACGGCGGUGUUUGGCACCUCGAUGUCGGCUCAUCACAUCCUGGGGCUGAAGUAGGUCCCAAGGGUAUGGCUGUUCGCCAUUUAAAGUGGUACGCGAGCUGGGUUUAGAACGUCGUGAGACAGUUCGGUCCCUAUCUGCCGUGGGCGCUGGAGAACUGAGGGGGGCUGCUCCUAGUACGAGAGGACCGGAGUGGACGCAUCACUGGUGUUCGGGUUGUCAUGCCAAUGGCACUGCCCGGUAGCUAAAUGCGGAAGAGAUAAGUGCUGAAAGCAUCUAAGCACGAAACUUGCCCCGAGAUGAGUUCUCCCUGAGACUUAAAGUCUCCUGAAGGAACGUUGAAGACGACGACGUUGAUAGGCCGGGUGUGUAAGCGCAGCGAUGCGUUGAGCUAACCGGUACUAAUGAACCGUGAGGCUUAACCCUACAACGCCGAAG
RNAcentral lists this ribosomal RNA (681 nucleotides) under Salmonella enterica. RNAcentral's name for it is "partial 23S ribosomal RNA". It matches the Rfam family "Bacterial large subunit ribosomal RNA", at positions 2262 to 2925 of the family's 2925-position model. The record is from RNAcentral. Lineage: Bacteria; Pseudomonadati; Pseudomonadota; Gammaproteobacteria; Enterobacterales; Enterobacteriaceae.